GUCGACCGGCCGGACACGUAUGUGCUCGGCCCACAAGUGGAGGCUCCGAUCUCCCACCUGACCGUCCUCCGGGGCGGCGGGUCAUCCGGUCAGACGGCCACCAUCGUUCCGUACGGACGAUGGAGCCGUCCGAAAGCGCGCCCCGCGAUCGUCGCGGCGGUGCUCCGGUUGCCAUGGAGCCCCGCCUGUGAUCGUCCGGGGCAUUUUUU
This 209-nucleotide non-coding RNA is filed under the name Streptomyces collinus Tu 365. RNAcentral's name for it is "Streptomyces RNA 1601". It matches the Rfam family "Streptomyces RNA 1601". Rfam says of the family: Identified by deep sequencing of transcriptome at the end of exponential growth phase. Appears longer on northern blot than sequencing transcript. Lineage: Bacteria; Bacillati; Actinomycetota; Actinomycetes; Kitasatosporales; Streptomycetaceae. The record is from Rfam by way of RNAcentral.